Eurytemora carolleeae is the source of this 253-nucleotide long non-coding RNA. RefSeq lists it as uncharacterized. NCBI's taxonomy places the organism in Eukaryota, Metazoa, Arthropoda, Copepoda, Calanoida, Temoridae. The transcript is spliced from 3 exons. The record is from RefSeq and is a predicted model, not a curated record.
UAUUUUUAAAUAUCCUUGUUUAUUGUUUGUUUAUGUUUUAUUUAUCACAGUUCUUGUAAGAUGACGGGGUCGAGAGCAGUGUUCCUGCUUUUGACGACAAUUAUCGGGAUACACUCCCAGGAUGUGACUGUACCAGAAGCAAAGUUUUUUGUUGCCGGGUCUGGGCUUCGAGUAGAGGUGGCUGAUGUGAGUGGAAUGACUGAUGUCCAGAUUCACUUCAGGUUAUAAUAAAAUCUAUCAGCUUGGGAACCUA